UUUUUCUGUUUUUUUU
RNAcentral lists this small RNA (16 nucleotides) under Arabidopsis thaliana (thale cress). RNAcentral's name for it is "ATSL127450". The record is from RNAcentral. Lineage: Eukaryota; Viridiplantae; Streptophyta; Magnoliopsida; Brassicales; Brassicaceae.